GACUUGGUGGUGUAGUACAUAGUAGGUUGCAAACUUAAAGAAGCGUUAGCCCUAGUUA
RNAcentral lists this transfer RNA (58 nucleotides) under Alicella gigantea. RNAcentral's name for it is "tRNA-Cys". The record is from RNAcentral. Lineage: Eukaryota; Metazoa; Arthropoda; Malacostraca; Amphipoda; Alicellidae.